Molecule: long non-coding RNA, 341 nt
Organism: Myotis daubentonii (Daubenton's bat)
Lineage: Eukaryota; Metazoa; Chordata; Mammalia; Chiroptera; Vespertilionidae
Exons: 2
Source: RefSeq, a predicted model, not a curated record
CCCGACCCCUCUCUACUCGGCCAGGGGAUGUCGCCUCGGUCCACGACGCCCUCCCGCGCCUCACCGCCGAGGCCCGAGGCCUCGCUGCUCACUGCGUGGACCGCAGCUCCCCGCCCAACACCCGCUUCAUGUGCUGGCUGAACGUCAGAGCGAGUGUGACCCACCGUCGCUGCCUGACGGUGUGGGUCCUUGGAACAACUGAAGUCAAUAAUUCGGAGCGCGGUUAAGGAAACAAGACCAGCAGCCCCGCAUUGUUCAAGGGUCAGCCCCGCAUUGUUUCCAUGUUUCAACUGUACGUGGAAAAUUCCAGAAAUUACCAAAAAAAAAAGUCAUAAAAGAAA